This 814-nucleotide long non-coding RNA is filed under the name Anas platyrhynchos platyrhynchos (common mallard). Its description in RNAcentral is "lncRNA (ENSAPLG00000017138.1)". The record is from RNAcentral. Lineage: Eukaryota; Metazoa; Chordata; Aves; Anseriformes; Anatidae.
GCAUGCUACAAACAAUUUCAUCUGCCAUGCUGAAGGGAAAAAUGGGAUCGAAGAAACAGAAGGAACAGGGAAACACAGCAGCAUGCUACAGAGCAGUCUAGAGAAUUAAACAAGGCUUGAAUAGCCCGAAAACAUACAGUCUCACAGCUUGUCAAGCACAUAUCCUGAAAAGAAAUGCUUGGAAUCAAUUUAUGUUAUCAUUUGCUUAUUUUAAAUUUUCUUGUCUUGUAAUAGCUAAUGAUGCAAUCCAUCUUUUUUCUCUUAUCUAAGACCAUCUAGAUUGUCACCUCAUUUAUUUAUUUAUUUGUGCACUGCACUGUCUGUGAUAGUUAAACUAUUUAUCGUACAACAAAAAUCCUUAUACACUCUGUUUGCAUUGACGAAAUCUGUGGCAGCUGUGUUGUGAUCAUUGUGUGCCUCUAAAAGCCUCCAGCCAGUUUGACAUAGAUUGGCAAUAUCUGACUUCGAAGGACUGGUGGUAACGAGGGGUGGAGGAAUCAAUUCCUCAUUGCUCUGUAAGAAGGAAAAUAGAAGUACUGAGCUGGGUCUAGACUACUUCUGCCACUAUGGAUUUACUGCACAUUGUGAUACAAUUAUCUAUAGGCAGGAAUUCAGCUUGCUGAUGAAAAACAGCAGCAGAGGACUGAAUAAACCACCUCUAACACUGAAGAACAAUGGAUUAACCAUUGCAAGGAUUUCACUCCACAAUAAGGUACCAGCUUGCUGUCCAGCAAGCCAAUCUCAUUCCAUAUUGAUCUGUGGUGAGACAAAAGGAUAGAAGAAAGCAAAAAUAAAAGAAAAAGAAUGGUAGCCA